Molecule: ribosomal RNA, 259 nt
Filed under: uncultured bacterium
Lineage: Bacteria
Description: partial 16S ribosomal RNA
Rfam family: Bacterial small subunit ribosomal RNA
Source: RNAcentral
GUCCACGCCGUAAACGAUGUCAACUAGCCGUUGGAUAUAUAUAAGUAUUUAGUGGCGCAGCUAACGCGAUAAGUUGACCGCCUGGGGAGUACGGUCGCAAGAUUAAAACUCAAAGGAAUUGACGGGGGCCCGCACAAGCGGUGGAGCAUGUGGUUUAAUUCGAUGCAACGCGAAAAACCUUACCUACCCUUGACAUCCUCAGAACUUGUCAGAGAUGACUUGGUGCCUUCGGGAACUGAGUGACAGGUGCUGCAUGGCU